GACGAACGCUGGCGGCGUGCUUAACACAUGCAAGUCGAACGCGCCUGUCCUCUGGGUUUCUGGGGGGUGGGUGAGUGGCGAACGGGUGAGUAACACGUGAGUAACCUGCCCCCUUCUUCGGGAUAACGGUCUGAAAGGGCUGCUAAUACCGGGUAUUCACUGGUCUCCGCAUGGGGUCUGGUGGAAAGGUUUUUUUCUGGUGGGGGAUGGGCUCGCGGCCUAUCAGCUUGUUGGUGGGGUGAUGGCCCACCAAGGCUUUGACGGGUAGCCGGCCUGAGAGGGUGACCGGUCACAUUGGGACUGAGAUACGGCCCAGACUCAUACGGGAGGCAGCAGUGGGGAAGAUUGCACAAUGGGCGCAAGCCUGAUGCAGCGACGCCGCGUGAGGGAUGGAGGCCUUCGGGUUGUGAACCUCUUUCGCCCGUGGUCAAGCCGCGACGUGGGUCGUGGUGAGGGUAGUGGGUAAAGAAGCGCCGGCUAACUACGUG
This 488-nucleotide ribosomal RNA is filed under the name uncultured bacterium. Its description in RNAcentral is "partial 16S ribosomal RNA". It matches the Rfam family "Bacterial small subunit ribosomal RNA", at positions 28 to 507 of the family's 1533-position model. The record is from RNAcentral.